CCUGCGGAAGGAUCAUAA
RNAcentral lists this ribosomal RNA (18 nucleotides) under Tricholoma matsutake. RNAcentral's name for it is "partial 18S ribosomal RNA". Lineage: Eukaryota; Fungi; Basidiomycota; Agaricomycetes; Agaricales; Tricholomataceae. The record is from RNAcentral.